GGCCUUCGGGUUGUAAACCUCUUUCAGUAGGGAAGAAGCGAGAGUGACGGUACCUGCAGAAGAAGCGCCGGCUAACUACGUGCCAGCAGCCGCGGUAAUACGUAGGGCGCAAGCGUUAUCCGGAAUUAUUGGGCGUAAAGAGCUCGUAGGCGGUUUGUCGCGUCUGCCGUGAAAGUCCGGGGCUCAACUCCGGAUCUGCGGUGGGUACGGGCAGACUAGAGUGAUGUAGGGGAGACUGGAAUUCCUGGUGUAGCGGUGAAAUGCGCAGAUAUCAGGAGGAACACCGAUGGCGAAGGCAGGUCUCUGGGCAUUAACUGACGCUGAGGAGCGAAAGCAUGGGGAGCGAACAGGAUUAGAUACCCUGGUAGUCCAUGCCGUAAACGUUGGGCACUAGGUGUGGGGGACAUUCCACGUUUUCCGCGCCGUAGCUAACGCAUUAAGUGCCCCGCCUGGGGAGUACGGCCGCAAGGCUAAAACUCAAAGGAAUUGACGGGGGCCCGCACAAGCGGCGGAGCAUGCGGAUUAAUUCGAUGCAACGCGAAGAACCUUACCAAGGCUUGACAUGAACCGGACCGCUGCAGAAAUGUGGUUUCCCCUUUGGGGCUGGUUUACAGGUGGUGCAUGGUUGUCGUCAGCUCGUGUCGUGAGAUGUUGGGUUAAGUCCCGCAACGAGCGCAACCCUCGUUCUAUGUUGCCAGCACGUG
RNAcentral lists this ribosomal RNA (704 nucleotides) under uncultured Arthrobacter sp. RNAcentral's name for it is "bacterial SSU rRNA". It matches the Rfam family "Bacterial small subunit ribosomal RNA", at positions 413 to 1127 of the family's 1533-position model. The record is from RNAcentral. Lineage: Bacteria; Bacillati; Actinomycetota; Actinomycetes; Micrococcales; Micrococcaceae.